Molecule: non-coding RNA, 3509 nt
Organism: Rattus norvegicus (Norway rat)
Lineage: Eukaryota; Metazoa; Chordata; Mammalia; Rodentia; Muridae
Source: RefSeq, a predicted model, not a curated record
UUUUCCUUUAAAGGUCAGGGCAGAACUGGGAAGCAGCCUUUUCUGCUUUAGACCAAAAGGAGGUCACGCAGGGUCAAGCUCUCUCUCCAUCCCCUCUGUCUCUCUCCCCACUGUGCCCUUCCUAUGCCACAUGGUUGACAGCGAUGACUGCAACGGAGUUGUUUUCUUUCUCAGUGGGGGCACAGAAAGGCAGACUUCCUCUCUUCUACUCAGAACUGACCUGGCUGCCUCCGAGGAGAAUCUCUGCCCUUCCUGAGAGUGCUGUCGCAUUGCCAGAUGGCUGGUUACUUUCGUCUGCCUCCCCAACCUGCUGUGGAUCACAGGAAGUCAGUCUGCAACCUGGCAUCACGCCUGUCACAGGGAGGCAAAGUUGAAGAUUGCCCAAAUCCAUGUAAGCACCACUAGCGAACAGACCAUGACGUUGCUUGGCCCACAAGUCAUCAAAAAGAGACUAUUGUCUGCAUCCUUUUCGCUGCUCUCUGGUGCCCUCUGCACUUGCACAGACAUGGAGCUGAUGGUGUGUCUCAGUAGUACAACAUUUACCUAGCAUGUGCGAGGUGCCGGCUUCAUCAUGGGAAAGGAGAUGGAGAGACCCUAGAGCCAGAGGACCUAGAUGUCCCCCAGGAGAGUCUUUAUCUGUGACACCGCAUCAACAUGUAUGUGAUUUCGCUUUCUAGAACCACACAGAGGCGCUCUUCACUCACUCAAGAGUUUUUCAUUUCAAAAUUUCUCAUUAACUGGUGAUUUGUCGAAAGGCAAGGGACAUCCUAGGCUAGAGGAGUUCACCAUGUUUUCUUACCCAGCAGCUCAAUCAUUUAUAGUUGCAUAAACAUGACAUACUAGUUCUCAGUAGCCAGAGAGAGAACUAUCCCCUUGGUAAUGUUAACACCAGAUUCAGAAAACGGCAGAGCUGACUUUACUCCUGGAAAAAUGUGAACGUGCGUGAGGAAAGACCUGGGAGUGAAAGUACCAAACUCAUGAAGCUUCUGAAAAGAUCUCCACCAUUCCCCACCAUCUCAGGAAUGUCAGUCAGCUGACUUGGCUCUCCAAGAUGUCAACCAGCCAACUCUGCUUCCCAAGAUAGACUGCCCUAUUUUCCACAUCAAAGGAAGCAAAGAGACACAAGCCAGGAACAGAACUGCAGGGUGACAGGUGGAUCCAACACACGGUAUUUACUGAGAUCCUAUUAUACAACAAUGGCUGGAAUUGAUUCCAUUCAGAUGCACUCAGAAGUGUCUACCUGUAGGACUUCAUAUAAGUGAGGGUGGGUACAGGAUAGAACGAGGCCUGUCAUUGGAUGAGAAGGAAGGAUGGGCGGGAGAAAAGUCCAAGGGAAGAGGAGGAGAUGUGAGACUGGAGGAUACUGGCAGAGUAGCCUCGGAGAGAACAUAGAGGCUGGCGUUGAUUUCACCCUGUGUAUUUACAGGUUUUUAUGAAUGUUCCUAAGGGAUGGAUGUGUACAGGGCUUUGUAUGUUUAGGUGGACGAGUAUAUCUUAUCCAUUGGAUCAGAGGUUAUUGUGUUGUGUGUUCUUUCUUGUGGAGAAUUGAGGGUGGGAGAGUGUGUGGCAGCAGAGACACUGGGCCACACGGAAUUGGGGUGUGUGUUUCUGCCAAGAUAUCUAGCAGAUAUCUUGGGGCACUGUGGUGCCAGAUCUAGAGGGGGUAAAAGACAGCUUUUUUAUAAUUUUACAGUAACGUCUACCCAUGAGAUGUUCACAGCAGUUCAAUUCCAUCACACCCCUUCCAGUGAGUCAUGGUGUGCUUCAUGUAAAAUGAACAGUCUUUGUGACUGGAGAGAUGGCCCAGUGGUUAAGAGUGCUUGCUAGUCUUAGCAAAAACAAAACAACCCCUCCCCCCCCAAAAGGAGUCUGGUUCCUAGCACCUAGUUUGGGUGGCUCGCAACUGCCUGUAACUCUGCAAAUAUUAACUGAUAAAGUCCUCAGAGUAACACCCAGAGAUGUGCAUAUCCUGUUGUUUCUGUCAUCUGAAAACAGAAGAAACUCUCACAUUGAAACAUAACACCUUCCAUAUAGCUAAGCUAGGAGUCUGACAGAAUCAAGGGACGCCGUUUCUGACCCUUCAUUCUUUCUUGACUGUAAGUGCAGAGCAAAUAUAACCACACGUUUAUUAUCAGCCACAUCUACUUAUUCCACAAUAUCCGACCUGGCUGUUUCCUUUUUUUUUUUUCUCAGAGCUGGGGACCGAACCCAGGGCCUUGCGCUCGCUAGGCAAGCGCUCUACCACUGAGCUAAAUCCCCAACCCUUCUUUCCUUUUUUUUUUUUUUUUUUUUUUUGGCUGUCAGUUUUAAGUGCAGCUUUUGAGGGGCUCACAUUUGCAUCUGAGUCAAAUGCUACCCCUAGAUUAGUGUUUGAUUCCUUACUCAGCAUAGUGACUUUUGGGGCAGGCUAUGAUGUGGGAGCUAAGUGCACACUUCUCCACCUCAGCACUGCUGGUGUCUAAAUAACUUUUGGGAAGACUGUCCUGAGUGUUCUAGAAGGUUGUUUUGGUUUGUUUUUUAAGUCACCUUUGGCCUCCAGUCAGUAGGUGGCAGCACAGAUCCAUACUUGGGACACAAAACUGUCUUCAGCCCCUUCUCAGGUAGAAUUACCAUUAGGACAGAACCUGGGUUAGAGGUCUAUGGGUACGAGUAAGUUUCAUUGGCUGGUGACUUGAUGGAGGGAGGGUUUCUUACACAUCGUGUCUAUGGUUCUAACUUUGCAAAGAGUAGGUACAGAAAGGCUUAUAUAAUCAACACCAGUGUGUCUUGGUAUAGAUUUCACCAGUGAAGAAGGGGCAGAGGGGAAUCGUGAAUCAUGCAGGCAGAUGGGGGGGAAUAAAUAGAAGGCAUUGCUAACACUUCCCUGCUGGACUUAUGCAAUAUGUGAGUUCAUGAAUUUUUCAUUAAUAUUGGAGUUCCAAAAAAAAGGGUUUCAUGGAAUUUUGACUUCUAAGCAGGCCACCAUGACAGAAGAAGACAACUGUUAAAGGUCAACAUUCUUGUCAGCAGGGCAAGUCCAUGACUCCUGCUUCCUUAAUUCUGUGUCCCCUCAAGGAACUCCAGAUGCAUCAGAGGCACGCAUUCGUAAGACAAGGAGGGAACAGACACGGAGAUGAACGUACGGACACACAGACGAGUGUAUGCUGGUAAACUGCUGAUGCCUUUCCUCUUGGGGUUGCGGUGUAGUCUAGAACUCUCAGGCUACUCUCUUGAUUUUAGGCUUCUUUUUUUCAUACAUAGCCUAAGGUGAGGGAAGAGAGUAAAAUAUAUUUAGAGAUGAUAUAUAUUAUUGUGGACUUCCGGAAUGGGAAGCUAUUGCCAUGUUAGCAAUUAAGAACCCAGCUUCUGGAGGAAGAAAAAAAGUCACCUGUCCCAAACACAUGCCAUUAUCUGUCAUGUUAUUUAUAGAUCAGGUCUUCUCUGACAUCCAUUUGUUUGAUUUUGAUAUCUUCUUAUGUGCUUGAAAUAGUUUUAAUUUAGAAACAUUAAAUAUGCUUACAUUUAUUGUC